Molecule: non-coding RNA, 183 nt
Organism: Pelobates cultripes (western spadefoot toad)
Lineage: Eukaryota; Metazoa; Chordata; Amphibia; Anura; Pelobatidae
Source: the annotation of a GenBank genome assembly
CAUGCUAGAGCACUUUUUUAAUGUGCUCCCCAACGAGAAGGCAAUGACGCAAUUGUAUGUCAAUCCAUAUCGACUUUCGAUGGCAUUGACUGAACCUACCAUGGUGACCACGGGUAACGGGGAAUCAGGGUUCAAUUUCGUACAGGGACCCUGACAAACGGCUACCACAUGCAAGGAAGGUAG